ACGAACGCUGGCGGCGUGCUUCACACAUGCAAGUCGAACGGAAAGGCCCUGCUUUUGUGGGGUGCUCGAGUGGCGAACGGGUGAGUAACACGUGAGUAACCUGCCCUUGACUUUGGGAUAACUUCAGGAAACUGGGGCUAAUACCGGCUAGGAGCUCCUGCUGCAUGGUGGGGGUUGGAAAGUUUCGGCGGUUGGGGAUGGACUUGCGGCUUAUCAGCUUGUUGGUGGGGUAGUGGCUUACCAAGGCUUUGACGGGUAGCCGGCCUGAGAGGGUGACCGGCCACAUUGGGACUGAGAUACGGCCCAGACUCCUACGGGAGGCAGCAGUGGGGAAUAUUGCACAAUGGGCGGAAGCCUGAUGCAGCAACGCCGCGUGCGGGAUGACGGCCUUCGGGUUGUAAACCGCUUUCGCCUGUGACGAAGCGUGAGUGACGGUAAUGGGUAAAGAAGCACCGGCUAACUACGUG
Molecule: ribosomal RNA, 467 nt
Filed under: uncultured bacterium
Lineage: Bacteria
Description: partial 16S ribosomal RNA
Rfam family: Bacterial small subunit ribosomal RNA
Source: RNAcentral